CACUUCUAAGGAAGGCAGCAGGCGCGCAAAUUACCCAAUCCUGACUCAGGGAGGUAGUGACAAGAAAUAACAAUAAACCGGCUUAUGCCGGUUUAAUUGGAAUGAGUACAAUUUAAACAUCUUAACGAGGGACAAUUGGAGGGCAAGUCUGGUACCAGCAGCCGCGGUAAUUCCAGCUCCAAUAGCGUAUACUAAAGUUGUUGCAGUUAAAAAGCUCGUAGUUGGAUUUCUGUGGGGACGGAGCGGCCGGCCGCAACACGCGGUUCGAGCUAGCGCUUUCCCUACAUCCUGCCGCGAACCGUGCUACCAUUGAUUUGGUGGCGCCGGGGAUCGGCUCGAUUACUUUGAGAAAAAUAGAGUGUUCAAAGCAGGCCACAUGCCUUGAAUAAGUUAGCAUGGAAUAAUAACUAAGGACUUCGGUUCUAUUUUGUUGGUGUUCGGGACUGAAGUAAUGAUUGAUAGGGACAGUUGGGGCGGUCUGUAUUCCAAAGCGAGAGGUGAAAUUCUUAGACCUUCGGAAGACAAACAGCUGCGAAAGCGUUCCGCAAGGAUGUUCCCUUUGAUCAAGAACGAAAGUUGGGGGAUCGAAGACGAUCAGAUACCGUCGUAGUCUCAACUAUAAACUAUACCAGCUAGGGAUCGGCCAACGUUAUUCUAUACCGACUUGGUCGGCACCUUAUGAGAAAUCAAAGCAUCUGGGUUCCGGGGGGAGUAUGGUCGCAAGGCUGAAACUUAAAGGAAUUGACGGAAGGGCACCACCAGCCGUGGAGCCUGUGGCUUAAUUUGACUCAACACGGGAAAACUUACCAGGUCCAGACAUAGUAAGGAUUGACAGAUUGAUAGCUCUUUCUUGAUUCUGUGGGUGGUGGUGCAUGGCCGUUCUUAGUUGGUGGAGUGAUUUGUCUGGUUAAUUCCGUUAACGAACGAGACCCCAGCCUGCUAAAUAGCGCGCGUGAGCUUUGCUCGCGGCGAGCUUCUUAGAGGGACUAUGAUGCGCGAUAGCACAUGGAAGUUUGGGGCAAUAACGGGUCUGUGAUGCCCUUAGAUGUUCUGGGCCGCACACGGGCUACACUGGCGCCUGCAACGAGCAUAUCAGCUGGCCCGAGAGGGUCUUGGCUAAUCUUUUGAACCGGCGCCGUGCUUGGGAUUGACCUUUGCAAUUGUUGGUCAUGCAACGAGGAAUGCCUUGUAAACGCGAGUCAUCAGCUCGCAUUGAAUACGUCCCUGCCCUUUGUACACACCGCCCGUCGCUCCUACCGAUGAAUGUUCCGAUGAAAUUUUCGGAGAGCACCUGUGAACUUGGCUCUGCCUUGCGAACGGGAAGCUCAAAGUCACUUAAAUCUGAACAUUUCGAGG
RNAcentral lists this ribosomal RNA (1356 nucleotides) under uncultured marine eukaryote. Its description in RNAcentral is "SSU rRNA". It matches the Rfam family "Eukaryotic small subunit ribosomal RNA", at positions 411 to 1779 of the family's 1831-position model. The record is from RNAcentral.